Molecule: ribosomal RNA, 924 nt
Filed under: uncultured organism
Description: bacterial SSU rRNA
Rfam family: Bacterial small subunit ribosomal RNA
Source: RNAcentral
AUAAAGAAGGUUUGGCUAACUCUGUGCCAGCAGCAGCGGUAAUACAGAAGACCUCGAGCGUUAUCCGGAUUUACUGGGCGUAAAGCGUACUAGUAGGGGCGUUUUGGUUAACGUUUCCAAGUAAGAUCUUAAGGCUCAACUUUAAGUUCGCUUGGAAAACUAAUAAACUGGAGUCCAGCAGAGGUGCAUGGAACUUGCGGUGUAGGAGUGAAAUCCGUUGAUAUCGCAAGGAACACCAAAGGCGAAGGCAUUGCACUGGGCUGGUACUGACCCUGAGAGACGAAAGCGUGGGGAGCAAAACGGAUUAGAUACCCGUGUAGUCCACGCCGUAAACGAUGGAUACUAGAUGUUCGGGGAUUCGGCCCCCUGGGUGUCACAGCUAACGCGUUAAGUAUCCCGCCUGGGAAGUACGGCCGCAAGGCUAAAACUCAAAGGAAUAGACGGGGAUCCGCACAAGCGGUGGAGCGUCUGGUUUAAUUUGAUAGUAAGCAAUGGACCUCACCAAGGUUUGACAUCCUAUGACAACCCUGGAAACAGGGCUUCAUUCGGGCAUAGUGACAGGUGCUGCAUGGUCGUCGUCAGUUCGUGCCGUGAGGUGUUCCGUUAAGUCGGGAAACGAACGAAACCCUCGUCGCAUGUUACAAAUUUCAUGCGAGACUGCCCGGGUCAACCGGGAGGAAGGCGGGGAUGACGUCAGAUCAGCAUGGCCAUUAUACAUUGGGCUACACAGGCGCUACAAUGGCCGGUACAAAGGGUUGCAAAACCGCGAGGUGAAGCUAAUCCCAUAAAGCCGGUCCAAGUUCGGAUUGGAGGCUGCAACUCGCCUCCAUGAAGUUGGAUCGCUAGUAAUCGUGGAUCAGCCAUACCACGGUGAUACGUUCCCGGAUCUUGUACUCACCGCCCGUCACACCAAGAGAGUUGGUA